This 295-nucleotide ribosomal RNA is filed under the name uncultured bacterium. RNAcentral describes it as "partial 16S ribosomal RNA". It matches the Rfam family "Bacterial small subunit ribosomal RNA", at positions 198 to 507 of the family's 1533-position model. The record is from RNAcentral.
UUAGGAAAGUUUCGGCGGUUGGGGAUGGACUCGCGGCUUAUCAGCUUGUUGGUGGGGUAGUGGCUUACCAAGGCUUUGACGGGUAGCCGGCCUGAGAGGGUGACCGGCCACAUUGGGACUGAGAUACGGCCCAGACUCCUACGGGAGGCAGCAGUGGGGAAUAUUGCACAAUGGGUGGAAGCCUGAUGCAGCAACGCCGUGUGCGGGAUGACGGCCUUCGGGUUGUAAACCGCUUUCGCUCAUGGCGAAGCUUUGUGUGACGGUAGUGGGUAAAGAAGCACCGGCUAACUACGUG